This is an RNA transcript of Rattus norvegicus (Norway rat), 503 nucleotides long. RefSeq lists it as uncharacterized. The record is from RefSeq and is a predicted model, not a curated record. NCBI's taxonomy places the organism in Eukaryota, Metazoa, Chordata, Mammalia, Rodentia, Muridae.
AGCAGGAUGAACAGCAUCAACACCACCCCCCCCCCCCACAGUGGCGAUCAUCCGGAUCCUUGCAGGCCUCCCACUUCACUUCCUAAAGUUCAGUCAGUAUGAAGAUCUUGAACACCAGCCUUGUUUACCUAAUGGAAGCCGUAUUGGAUUUGGGCCUGGCCGUUUUGUGACUGUAUAGCUCAGAAUGCCUACGUGACUCUUGGCUGCAUGGCCACAGAUGUUCAACCUUGAAAGGACUGUCAUAAAGCCUUGAGAUUGUUGGACAAAAGACUCUCCCAUGAAUUUACGGCACAAGAAGAUAACAACCACGGGAUGCUUCAGCCCGAGCAAAUACCAGAUGUCUCCUGAGCAAACACGAGGUGUCUCCACUGCAUGACCUCUUCACCUCCUGCUAUCAGAGUACCCUCGUCCCUCCUUCCUUUGUGUUUCACAAAGGUCACUCCUCCUACCUGAAAGCCUUAAAAGCUGUAACACUCACCCCAAUAAACGAGAUCUUGGCAACA